CCUGGUUUCGACGGAGACUGCGAAGCAGCGCGGGGCAUGCCAAGGUGCAGAACCUUGUGAAUCCUCUGCAAUCGCAAACUUAACUGCGAACGACGAAACAUACGCUCUGGCGGCUUAAUCCCGCCGGACCUCGCACCGGGCGGCGCUCAGCUCGGGUGAUGAAACUGGCAACAGCGUAGUCACAGCGGGGACAUUUAGAGCGAUCGCGUGCGCCCGGGUCACUUGGGCGACACGUCAAAUCUAGGUGACUGGCAUCGGCGUCGCCUGUCCGUCAGUGGCGCCGGAGCGAGAGCUGAAUGACGAGGCUAAGCAUGUAGUCCUGCAUGUGUAGCGUUUUCGGACGCGGGUUCGAUUA
RNAcentral lists this transfer-messenger RNA (355 nucleotides) under Betaproteobacteria bacterium. It matches the Rfam family "transfer-messenger RNA". Rfam says of the family: Bacterial tmRNA, also known as 10Sa RNA or SsrA, is named for its dual tRNA and mRNA-like properties. Its role is to liberate the mRNA from a stalled ribosome. The record is from RNAcentral. Lineage: Bacteria; Pseudomonadati; Pseudomonadota; Betaproteobacteria.